CUGUAUAUUUUCUAGCUGAAUAGCCCCAGUGUUACCUUCUGGUGUUGGAAUUUAUGAAAGCAUAAGAUGUCUGCCUCUCUGCUUCUUUAGUUGUUCCCCUCCAUCAAAGAUUUUUUGAAUCCCUUCAUGUAGCAGUCAGGAGAAAUAAAGAAUUUAAAGGCAUGAAUCAUUUGAGCUGCUUUAAAUGUCACCUUGAGGAUGAGAAGAAUUGUGUUCUGGGAAUGCCCAUUUUUCCAUGGAUGGAAAAGGGACUGACUAGUGCUAGCAUCUGCACUAAAUCAGAUGAAUCCCUCUUUGUGCGAAGGGAACAAAGUUUGUAAAGAGUAGAGAGUAAGUCCUAUGAGGAGUGGCUGAGGGAGCUG
Molecule: non-coding RNA, 362 nt
Organism: Sturnus vulgaris (Common starling)
Lineage: Eukaryota; Metazoa; Chordata; Aves; Passeriformes; Sturnidae
Source: RefSeq, a predicted model, not a curated record